Molecule: long non-coding RNA, 773 nt
Organism: Anolis carolinensis (green anole)
Lineage: Eukaryota; Metazoa; Chordata; Lepidosauria; Squamata; Anolidae
Exons: 2
Source: RefSeq, a predicted model, not a curated record
GCCUUUUGGCCCCGCCCCCAGCCCAGCGUGAGUGAGGUGGAGGCUGCCGCGUCGCUCCCGGAAGUGACUUCUCCUCAAGCUCCUCCCCCUCCCUUUCAGGGUCACGAGUCUGGAAGGCGGAUGUGUAUGCCACACACCACAUGAGAAAUUAAACUGUUUAGCCGGCACUGCACCACCUGACAUCCGCCAGAAAGUAGCAGCCAGCAAUGAAAGCGCCAAGGCAUUGACAUCUCUGGCCCAUCCCAUGUUCGGGUAUCAGCCAGCAGGCCAACACCUUAAAUCAGAAAUAGUUUUCUAAGAUCUACAGAGAUACUCGUAGGAAUACCUCAGCAAGCAAGAGUCCAAAAGUGGCAGGCUAAAACCCAGAACUUUAAUCAUUGACUGACUCUGGAUGAGAGAUUCCCUCCUGUGCACACAGAAGACUGGGCGACUUGGAAGGCGCUUAACAGAUUGCGCUCUGGCACCUCGAAAUGCAGGGCCAACCUUAAGAAAUGGGGCUACAAAGUGGAGUCCACGACAUGCGAGUAUGGAGAAGAUCAAACCACAGACCACCUAUUAUAAUGCAGCCUGAGUCUUUCCACAUGCACAAUGGAGGACCUUCUUAUAGCAACAUCAGAGGCACUCCAAGUGACCAGCUGCUGGUCAAAGGACAUUUAGUAUAGUUUUAUUUGUUUUGUUUGUUUUUAACUUUGUGAUUUCAAAUACAUUACAACUUGUACCCUCUUUUUGCUUCUGACACAACAAAUAAAUAACCCCACUUUAUCUCACCCUGA